CCCCCCCCCAUGUAUUAUGUAUUGUGAAAUUGUGUCUCUAUUGUCUUUCUUUAGCCCUCACCACCUGCCCUUCUAGGCAGAUCGGAGGAGGACUGAUCAGCCUCCAAUACCCUACCCUAUUUUUAUACUAUUAUAUACUUUGCUUCUUAUUAACAAUAUCUCUUUAUAGUAUCCCAUACCAUAACAUAAAUGUUCCCUCUUUCUUUCUUUUUCUUUUUUUUUUUUGGUACUGGGGAUCGAACUCAGGUCUUUGCACUUGCGCAGCAGGCGGUGAAACCACUGAGCUAAAUCCCCGGCCCUCCCUUUUUCUUCCUUAAGCAUAUUUUUUAAUUAUAAGUGCAUCAAAACAGCCCAGUUAUAAGGAGACUUUGUUUCCACUCUUUCCCUGCUAUAAACUAUUGCAAUAAAUAUUCACAUAUAGAUACCCAUUCAUUCAUUUACAAGUACAUCUGUUUGAUGAAUUCUGACAAAAAGCAUUUGCUGGUCAAAAGUAUGUAUAGGACUCUCUAAAGUUUUGUGUGAUGGUUGUACUAAUGUUCAGCCCCCAGCAAUGCAUAAGGGUACCUAUCUCUGCCACACUGUCACCCACAAAAGCAUUUCUAAACUCUUUGAUCCUUGCCAAUUGGAUAGGGAAGUGUACCUGCACUCAUGCUUUCAAUGUGUGCCCCAGGUUAAACUGAAAGCAUCUUAGCAGACAGGUGGCAAGUGAAGUGCCUUUAGUGGGCACAUGGUAUCACUGAGUCAGAGUAUUUCAUUGUCUCCUAAAGCUUGGCCCUCAUCACCCACACCCAGGGGCCCAGUUUCACAGAUAACAUUGAACAUAGAUACCUUCAUACAGACUUAAAUAUUACUUUAUUAAUGUUAUGCCCAGAUCGCGAAGUCCCAAAGACCACCAGGAAGUUGAUUCCGAUGUAAGCACACGAGGGCUGUUUAUUCAAGCUGGAGCAGGGGCUCCCAACCAUCACCAACACAGCGGAUCAGAAUUGAGAGCCCCGAAUUUCAAAUUAGCUGGGUUUUUAUUGUGGUUACAGCAAGAGUGUGCCUGAAGUCAUUUUGCAAAACAACCAACCAAAAGGCCUUUGACGUCGGAGAGGAUGUAUGUGGGGCAGAAGAACUAACUACGAGAAUCCUGUGCUCACAACAUCUGCAGCUACAACUCGGAGACAUCAUACAGGCAUUUACUGGGUGUGAGCAAUCAGCAUGUUACAGGUCUGACUAGUUUGCAGCUCCAGUGGGCUGCCUGAGGGUUCGGAAGACAGGUUUCACAAAGAAAAAUCACUGUCACCUCAGCUUCAGACAACCACUAAAUUCUGCCUACGAAUCUUGUAGGAGGCGCUUCAUAUCCAUGGAGCAAAUGUGAGCAUAAAGAAAUGGUGUUGGGACAAACAGCCAUCUGUAAGUAAAGUUGGAAGUAUACCUCAUACUGUACCAAAACGAAUUUCUGAUAGAGAAAACAUAAAUGUUAAAAACUUUGAUCAGAAAAUAUAUAUAGCCCAGGGGUGAUGGUGCAUGCCCAUAAUCCCAAGCACUCUGGGAAACUGAGGCAUGAGAUCCCAAGUUUGAGCCCAGCCUGCACAAUUUGGUGAUUGUCACUCAUUCUACCACUAAGCUACACCCACCAUCCUCUGUGUGUGUGUGUGUGUGCGUGCCGCAGCGUGCCGCACGCGAGCGAGCGUGUGUGUGUGUGUGUGUGUGUGUGUGUGUGUGGUCUUGUUGUUGUUUUUAUUUUCUAGUACUGGUGUUGCAUCCAGGUUGAGCAGCCCACCAGGAUCAGAAACUCAGCAGCAAUAACAAAUUAAAGGGAUGGAGUUUAAGAAGGGAAGCCGAUUUAUUUGUAAGGAGGAAAAAAUAGAAGACACAAAGCUGCCAGGAUAGAGAGCAGGGGCUGCAGAUGAUAUGUGUGUGUCGUCGUGUGUGUCGGGGGGGUCCGCCCCUGCCCCAGCCCUGGUCCCAGGCUCCUUUUGUUAGGUCUGGGGACCCUUCCUUUCGGGUGGGUGGUAACCUGAUCAGUCUCUGGGCGGUCUUUGGGUGGACUCCAGGUCCCCAGAUCCUAACCUGGGUACUUUUGCCUGUGUGCACAAUCCUUUCGGUGGGCUUUCUUUCACUUCUUGCCCUGUUGUGAUCUGCAAGUUGUUGGGAAGGGAUCCUUUUAAGGUUAGUGACUAAGUAAAGGCGUGUGUGUAUAUCUAGUGCAGUAAUAUUGUGCCUCUACAGUGUUUUUAAAUACUAAAUAAAUUUUCUUGUAAAUUAGG
RNAcentral lists this long non-coding RNA (2252 nucleotides) under Heterocephalus glaber (naked mole-rat). RNAcentral describes it as "lncRNA (ENSHGLG00100035697.1)". Lineage: Eukaryota; Metazoa; Chordata; Mammalia; Rodentia; Bathyergidae. The record is from RNAcentral.